GCCGGGCAAGGUGGCGCAUGCCUGUAAUACCAAUUUGGGAGGCCAAGGCAGGAGGAUUGAGAGUUCAAAGACAGCCUCAACAGAUUAAUGAGGUAUUUAGCAACUCAGUGAGACCCUGUCUCUA
This 124-nucleotide small RNA is filed under the name Marmota monax (woodchuck). Lineage: Eukaryota; Metazoa; Chordata; Mammalia; Rodentia; Sciuridae. The record is from RNAcentral.